Long non-coding RNA from Physeter macrocephalus (sperm whale), 493 nucleotides. RefSeq lists it as uncharacterized. Lineage: Eukaryota; Metazoa; Chordata; Mammalia; Artiodactyla; Physeteridae. The transcript has 4 exons. The record is from RefSeq and is a predicted model, not a curated record.
AUCUGAAGUGAUGGAGCUGGGAUUUGAGGGUGAUCCAGGAAGCACCAGGGUCAUGGUCUUUUCUCUCACCCUCUGCACUGUCCACUGACAAGGUCUCAUGGAGUCAAAGAAGUACAAGAAUCUCCUCUGACAGAAAGCUGACAAAUGUUGAGGGGUGAUGUCUGCUACCUCCGAACUGAGCAAAGCUAGUCGACUCAUGAGGGGUGAAGGCUGCAGUGUGAACCUAUGACCUUGACGCCAUUAACUUCGGGCAUCUGAAGCGCCAGCAUCGUGACGAUGGGUAGGAAAGCUGGGAUUCCAGAUGGGAUAGCAGUGAAGCUGAAGGAAGAGAGAACAACCUAGAAGAACCCGGUCAUCGUAAUGUCCUCCUCAUUUGCUGCAUGAUUCUCUGAUUCUUGGUAUAGACCCAUCUAUCAGCAAAUCCUGUCUUCAAUUCCACCUUCGUUCUAUCUGAAGUCCACUGGCGUCUCACCUCCUCUGCCGCCACGGCCCC